Molecule: ribosomal RNA, 424 nt
Filed under: uncultured bacterium
Lineage: Bacteria
Description: bacterial SSU rRNA
Rfam family: Bacterial small subunit ribosomal RNA
Source: RNAcentral
UGGGGAAUAUUGGACAAUGGGCGCAAGCCUGAUCCAGCCAUGCCGCGUGAGUGAUGAAGGCCCUAGGGUUGUAAAGCUCUUUCAACGGUGAAGAUAAUGACGGUAACCGUAGAAGAAGCCCCGGCUAACUUCGUGCCAGCAGCCGCGGUAAUACGAAGGGGGCUAGCGUUGUUCGGAUUUACUGGGCGUAAAGCGCACGUAGGCGGAUAUUUAAGUUAGGGGUGAAAUCCCAGAGCUCAACUCUGGAACUGCCUCUAAUACUGGGUAUCUAGAGUUCGAGAGAGGUGAGUGGAAUUCCGAGUGUAGAGGUGAAAUUCGUAGAUAUUCGGAGGAACACCAGUGGCGAAGGCGGCUCACUGGCUCGAUACUGACGCUGAGGUGCGAAAGCGUGGGGAGCAAACAGGAUUAGAUACCCCUGUAGUCC